This is a long non-coding RNA of Oncorhynchus tshawytscha (Chinook salmon), 3388 nucleotides long. NCBI's taxonomy places the organism in Eukaryota, Metazoa, Chordata, Actinopteri, Salmoniformes, Salmonidae. The record is from Ensembl.
GAUUAACACAGAGCGAACUUGGCAAAAUACAAUGCAUGCUUCUGUAGUACGAGUAGUACAGUAUCAUCGGUAACAAUUGUGUAUAAGCCACCUAGCUAAUAAAAUACUGGGGCUUGCGGUCAUUUGUUACAUUUCAACCACAGCGAUUCCCCAAUUAAGGCGCAACAGAGUUCACCGGCAAAUGCAGGAACAACGGAAAUAAUAACUAAACCAACGAAUGAGAAAUGGUGGAGGCUACCAGAACAAAGAGACAUUUUUUCAGAAUAAACGUGCACCUGUCCCAGCUCUGGUCCCGGUCCCAGUCCCUGUCCCAGCCCCUGCACCUCCAGCUGCCCCAGCACCAAGGGCCCCUCCUGCCCCACCUGGUCCUAGAAAAAUAAACAUCAAGGCAGUUCAUAUGUCUGCAUCUUUCCAUCUGAGAGAUGAUGGGAAAUGCAGCAGCAAGGUAUAGUAGGGGUAAUGGGUGCCGGUUUAGCUCUGGGAACGGCUUCACUUGAAUGCAACAGUGCAGUAUUCUGGAAAACAAAACCUUCUCACCAUAUUUGUCUGCCUUAAAUCCAGAUCCAGUACCAUAGCCUGCAGAUCCCAACCAAACACACAGAGACCAGUGUCAGACAUCAGAACAUACUGAUGGAAUACACUUACCCAUUGGUCUUUCUCUGUACAUUUCAUGUACUUACCAACUUGUCUUCUAUGUAAAGUAAAGGUCAGUGAAAUGACCCAAACUAACCCAUCUAUAUCCUCUCCACUCUCUCAGCUCUCCUCACACUUACCCCUUUUCCCCCAGGGAGAACCGCUGUACCCUCCUGGAAGCCCACCUGGCACCCCUCCUAAUCCUGCUCCGCCCCCGGCUCCAACGCCACCUGGUCCGGCUCCAAAGCCACCUGGUCCGGCUCCAUAGCCACCUGGUCCGGCUCCGAAGCCACCUGGUCCAGCUCCGAAGCCACCUUUGUAUACAGAGUGUGUUAAUAUAGGGAUGUGAUGAUAUUGUAUCAUCUGUUUAGCUAGAAUGUGGUGUUGCAGUGUGAUUAUAUGUACAAUUUUCAGCUGUUACUUAAAUGGUGGUAGUGCAGUAAGUAGCUUUGAGAGGCAAAGUCGACAUUGGUGCUAAAUAAUAGGCAAUAUUUUCUCACCUGGUCCAUAGCCACCUGGUACCCCUCCGACUAUGGAAGUAAGAGGUAAUCCCCCAGAUCAAAGUUAGACAUUUUCUGGACAUCGAUUCAACUUUAUAUUCCCUUAAAGGGAUAGUUCACCCAAAUUACCAUAUUGGUUUCCUUGAACAACGUACGACCAGACUGACAAGACCAAUAAACUCACAUCCUUGUCCAGCUCCUCCUCCAAGGGCCCCACCGGCCCCACCAGCAACUUGUCCAUAUUUAGCAGGUUUUGAUCCGGCUCCAUAUCCUGUAGAAUCAUAGCGAAUCUUUUCACUACAGAAUGUUGAACUCAAAACCAACAGAAAAAAACUGCCCAACCAAUGCCAUUUAGUAGGAAGCUUGAAGCCCAACAAACAAUGUUUUCCCUGGAAUACACAACAAGGAUUCCCAAUCAAAUAAUCCCCCCAAGUCCAACUAUUAUUAGUUGCCUUUAUUUAACCAGGUAAAUCAUUAAGAACAUAUUCUCAACAAACAAGGAACGCUGCUUUGUAAAUAGCCCCUAUAUCCCAACCUGUCCUAGGGAACCCCUGGCUCUGCUGUUGACUAACCUCUUCCAGGUCCAUAUCCGGCCCCAGGUAGUCCUCCUGCUCUUGCCCUAGCUUCAUAGCCUCCUCCAGGGACUCCUCCUGCUCCCUGACCGUACCCAGCUCCAGGCCCUGUUCCUGCUCCAUACCCUGCACCAGGCCCAGCUCCGGUCCCGUAUCCACCCCCAGGCACUCUUCCUCCUGCUCCUGCUUCUCCUGCUCCUAAGGCGCCUCCUGCCCCUGGUCCGUAGCCUCCUCCUGGCAGACCUCCUCCCGGGGCACCGAAUCGCCCACCAAGGCCUCCACCCGGAGCUCCUCCACCUCCUCCUGGACCUGGCAGGACAACACGGGAGGGGUCAAAGGUUAGGGUUAGACAACAUAAAUAUGGCAGCCAUAUUGUUUUGUUUCAAGGAUUUUAACAUAAAUACUCUCCACAGAGAGAAAAUAAUGAUUACCGUAUUUCAGAGACUUAGCCCCAGCAGGAUAUCCUGUGAGACAGAGCACAUGAUGGGAGACAUUUUAAUGAUGGGAGACACUUCGUUGGUCCUAUACCAGGCAGUGUCAGAGGAAGGCCCUAAAAAUGGUUGAAGAGUCCAGCUAUCCAAGUCAUAGACUGUUCUCUCUGCUACCGCACGACAAACGGUACCGAUGCACCAAGUCUGGAACCAACAUUAUUCUGAACAGCUUCUAGCCAAAAGACUGCUAAAUAGUUAACCAAUUAGCUACCCAGACUAUCUGCAUUGACCCUUUUUGCACUAACUCUCAUCACAUGCAGCUGCAGCUGCUGCUGCUUAUUAUCUAUCCUGUUGCCUCGUCACUUUACCUCUACCUAUACAGUGCCUUGCAAAAGUAUUGUUGUAGUUGAAUCAGAAUUAGUUAGGUAACAUAGAUAAAUAAGAUGUUUUAUUUACUUUAUACUUGUCAUUAGAAUGUCUUCUUUUGGACUAUACUGUUGGCAGUUGCAUUUUCUUCUCCUCUAGGGAAAAGUCACUUGGGGCCCAGAGAGGGGAGAGGUCAGGCUUGUCUUUUACAUGUCUGGUAAUAGGCAGAAUAUCAGAAAGGGAGAAGUCAGGUUUGAACAUUGUCUUCAUAAUGAAUAUAUCUGUGAAACCAUGUGAAGGGCUCCGUAAUGUCUGUACUCCAGUCACUCCCUCUCUUUUCCCAUUGGGGGAGGAGUAUGGCAGUGUCUGGAACCAUUGUAUGUCCCCUCUCUUGACCUAGUAUAUGACCUGGAGGCUCACUCUCCUCCGUGAGCUUGUCCAGGAGGGGGUGUAUUUGAGAUGGGAGUAUCUAGAAUUAACAACUGAUAUAAGCCAUUGGAUGAGGUAAUGUUUUGGUAAUAUGAAGUACCAAGAACGAGAAGUAGAACCUCGUCUACGAGACCAAACUGAACGAAAAUUUAUAGUUAAUGCUAUCUGGCUAUGGGAUACUCCUCUUUCAAGUAAAAGGCCCUUUGUGAAGUUCCUAAGAUCUGUGGUUCGUCAUUGUGAGUUGAGAGGGGUGUAUCUUGGCUAUAAAAUAUGAAGUAUUCUUUUGUAAGCACUCUCAGAAUUCAUUUAUAGACACUGAAUUGAUCUGAGAGUCACAGGGCUAUGGUGAAGGUCAUUAUUAAAAUAUUAAGUUUAAGUACAACUCUGACUGGUGUGUGGUUUGUAACUCUCCUCAUUUAGUAAUACAGGAAAUUACCACGACAGUAAUUCUUCCCCC